GAUGAACGCUGGCGGCGUGCCUAAUACAUGCAAGUCGAGCGAACAGACGAGGAGCUUGCUCCUCUGACGUUAGCGGCGGACGGGUGAGUAACACGUGGAUAACCUACCUAUAAGACUGGGAUAACUUCGGGAAACCGGAGCUAAUACCGGAUAAUAUAUUGAACCGCAUGGUUCAAUAGUGAAAGACGGUUUUGCUGUCACUAAUAGAGGGAUCCGCGCCGCAUUAGCUAGUUGGGAAGGUAACGGCUUACCAAGGCGACGAUGCGUAGGCGAACUGAGGGGGUGAUCGGCCACCCUGGAACUGAGACACGGUCCAGACUCCUACGGGAGGCAGCAGUAGGGAAUCUUCCGCAAUGGGCGAAAGCCUGACGGAGCAACGCCGCGUGAGUGAUGAAGGUCUUCGGAUCGUAAAACUCUGUUAUUAGGGAAGAACAAAUGUGUAAGUAACUAUGCACGUCUUGACGGUACCUAAUCAGAAAGCCACGGCUAACUACGUG
This 497-nucleotide ribosomal RNA is filed under the name uncultured bacterium. RNAcentral's name for it is "partial 16S ribosomal RNA". It matches the Rfam family "Bacterial small subunit ribosomal RNA", at positions 28 to 507 of the family's 1533-position model. The record is from RNAcentral.